AGCUUCACUUAUUUAGUGUUGAAUAAGAUCAUUGACAUGACAUUCUAAUAAUUAAAAGGCUUUUUUUCCUUUUUUUUUAAAGAUCAUUGAUAUGACAUUCUAAUAAAGGCUUUGUUACUUUUUUUUAAAGGCUUGCAUCGAGUGAACGACGUGCAUCAAAUGGAAAAAAAAGGGACUGAAAAACGCCACUGAGAAUAUCUUAGUAGUUUGCGCUAACGUCAAGUAGUUGAUUUACUCAACGAGUUUGCGAGGCCUAACUGAGACAUCCACUAUGAUAUAAACACUGUCCUACAAAAAUUAAGGAGGCUAAAGGUUUCUAUCAAAGAGUUUCGCCAGACGACUUCCUUCUAGGGCAAAUACCGACUACAUCAUCGAUGUCAUAUAUGUGCUUCUUUCAGGUGAUGUACUGAUGCAGCAAAACACACAGAUAUUUCCGAAGCUUUUAUAUGUAUCUGUUGUUUUCCGGUUUCCUUGCACUAAAAUGUAGUGGCCCUUAGAGCCCAAUAUAUAAGUUUAUAAGCUAUGGCUGGUUAGUUGGUUCUGACUCUCUCUAUCGAGUAUGCAAGUAGAGAAAAUAAACUGCUCUUGAACUGAAAUUCUAAGUUUGUUCAGUUAACGUGAGAGCUACGAGAUAUGGGGGUUUUUGACACUUAACCCAAGUCACACAAAAUGAAACAGUAAUAAAACGUACCGCGUGUAUAUCACAUUGUACUAAAGUCAGUAAUUUUAUAUUUUCAUAUUUCUUCAUUAUUUAAUUGUAUCCCGAUAUAAGAAAACUGCUCGAUACUAAAAGAUUGUAUCACUUUGGCCAUGGUGGUUGAAGGAUGUUUGGUGAAAGGACCUUGAAAUUUGGCAGUUUUUUCCGGGUGCUUCUCCGUUAUUCUGUGUUUCUCAGAACAAGAUUCUGUGGUUGGGUGUGAAGUACUGAGAUGCACUAGAGACAAUUGAUAUCAGUUUUUGGAAAAUAGAAGUGAUGUGUGCCAAAUAAUCAAGGAUUUAACCCUACUUUAAACCAGCACCUCGAGAGAGUAUUCACAAUUCCCAUCACUUCUUGCCGGAUAGCAUCGGGAAGAUAGGAGAGAAAGCAACGUUGUCAUUGUUGGAAAUGUGAUGGGUAAAGGUCACGAGAAUCAAAGAAAUUCUCACCGUAGUUGUCACGAGACUGAGAUACGGAGAGAGACCAGUGGGGAGAAUUAAAUGUUGACCAGAGCUUAAAGGGUGAAAGGAGCGUAUGUCAAAGUUUGGCUGCGCGGUACAGAACAUAUCUCUAUCUUGUAGUGGAGAGUCAUUAACCUCGAAACGACCUCGACUCUCUCAUGCUGAAUCCAGACUUCAUUCAUCUGGUAAGAAAUCGUUUGUUAUUGUCAACUAAAUAUAUUGUUAGUUUGCUGUUACCAAAGAAGUGAAGCUACAAUAUAUUUAACUAGUUUUGUUAACUAUCCUUUCCAACUCAUUCUAUCUCGAUUGAGUCGCUCUUUGAAAGGUCACACGAAAGACAGAAGCGUAUAUUUUAAUUUUUCACAAACAAAUUAAUACAUAAAUUUAAUAUAGAGAAUGUUUCAUCGUGGAAACCGUCCAACGAAGCUUGUAUGUAUCUAUUUUUAGAAGAAAGAAAGACUGCCGAAAUUGAUAGUAGGAAUGCAAAGGCAAAUCAGUUUGUGAUCUUUUUUCAGCGGAAUGAUAAAACCUCCCUUUUCAUCUCCCGCCCUUGGUCACUCGUCGAAGGAGACGGCAUCUCUGCUUUUAGAAGGCGUGGCUUUUUUCACUCAGAUGAUAUUGUAUCGGUGAUCUCUUGUGUUUUGCUUGCUUGGAUGCUAUCGUUACUGGGUUACCUUAAUCAGCUGUGCAGGGAAAAUCGCUCAUUCUAGGUGCCCUUGAGCAAGAAGCGGAUAUUACUAAUGCAAUUAAAAUUUCCUAUCUUUACAAAUGAUUUCCUCAAAGCAUCUUUCGGUUAAAGUUUGAAGUGGUUCCUCUAAAUAAAUUAGUUGCUGGUAAUCAAAUGCAGCAUUUCAAAGAGGGAAAGAGAUCAAAGAGCGACCCUUGUAGGAUAUUGGAUCUUAUGACUCGGAGAAGUCGAGUACUUCAUACACCAAAUGUUUUAAGCGAUUUUAUCAGAGAUAGGACAAUGCUUCUUAGCCCCGUCAUGGGAUGACUUUUUUGCGGAUAUCGUGUUAUGAGGAACUGUAUGGAAAGAGAACCUAUCUUUGACAAUUCAACAUGAAUAAGAAACAUCUGCCGUUCGAAACGAUGAUUCAUUUUAAUUGAUAAAUUAAGGACAAUAAUUUCCAAUUUCAGUCUCGAAAGAAAGAAAAUUAACCAUUAAUGAGAUUGGAGUUUGACGUUUUUGAAAACAAUGGCGCCCUUAAGAGUGCUUGUUCGUCGGAGUGUCUUUUAAGCUGAGAGCACUGUUCUCACGCAUUUAGGGUUGCUCCGAAACUCGACCAAUAUUUUAACUGUUGAUUCCAAUCGCCUUUUUUUUUACAACUCUUUCAAGAUAUUAUGCGCAAAUGGUGUUAAAAAGGAAAGUAAGAAUAGAAAAAAAAAAGAGAGAGACCGAAAGUAAUAGAGGAGGAAAACACUUUAAAUCCAAAUGCUACUGUGUUCUUUACAUCGUUUGCAUCAACCACAUGAUGGAAACAAAUGAUUUUAUAAAAUUCGUCAUAUAACAUUAAAAGCAUUAUUCCUGGGAGCUUUGUGUGUGGCGGUGUAUUCAACGCGCUGAAACGAGAUGAUGCACCUUUUUUCGACGAAAUUACUAAAUGUGGUUAUAUAAUUAUUUUAUUGUCUUUUGUUCCACAAUGUAUCUAUCAAUUUUAAAAUAAUUUAAAGCGCAAUUUCCUUUGGCUCCCAAGUAAUUGUUCUUUCGUUAAAUUGAUCUCUUCUGGAAAUUGAUAAACUCACGUUUCAGAUUUUCAAUUUAAGAAUCAGAAAAACUGAAGCACGAAAUUCUGGUGGUUUUGGUACCGCUGAGAAGAGAAAAGGAAUAUGAAAGAAACCGUGCUGUUGGUUUGAAAAUACGAGAAUCUUCAAACCGUUUUUCCAUUCUAGCUGUGCUUGUCGAUCCGCCCCUUUCCGUAGGUGCUUUCUUAUGACGUGGUGUUCGCAUUGAGUUCCUUUCUUUUACCUCAAAAACUUUAGAUCGAAGAGAGGUAGGAAAUCCUUGUUUGCCCUCUGGUUUAGAAUCUAGAUAAGGGAUACCGCCAUUUUCAUCUUUUGAAAAUCCAGAUGUACAUUAGCUACUCUUUGCCACUGAAUAAAGUGGCCAAACGUCACCCAAAAUAACAUUGUGUGCGAUUACAAGUUGUUAUCGAAGUAUCUUCCACAAAACGAAAAGGAUAAGGUUAUUCAAGUUUAAUAAUGUAGAAAAUAAAUUUGCGGUUUCCUUUAUUAGUAAGAUUCAUUAACUGAAUUCCCCCGAAUAACUUCUACUACACGUACGAUGCUGGUAGCACGUGCGGGAUGUCAGGAAUAUCAUGUUAAGUAUAUGGAAGCUGUUUAAUCUUGGAAAAUAACAUAUUUUUUCAGGAAGGUGUUGUUUGGCCUGUUUCGAAUUUCAUUAAAAUUUCAUAUUUUCUCUUUGCAGCAUGUGCGUCGAAUAUUCUUACUUUCUGUUAGUAAGCCCCGCUGAUUAGUAUAACCACAAAAUAUUUCGGAAACCGUCUCAAAAUGAUAUCGGAAAGUCUUCUUAAUGUCUUCAUCUGAGGUUUUA
This is a long non-coding RNA of Stylophora pistillata, 3709 nucleotides long. NCBI's taxonomy places the organism in Eukaryota, Metazoa, Cnidaria, Anthozoa, Scleractinia, Pocilloporidae. The record is from RefSeq and is a predicted model, not a curated record.